RNAcentral lists this ribosomal RNA (449 nucleotides) under uncultured bacterium. RNAcentral's name for it is "partial 16S ribosomal RNA". It matches the Rfam family "Bacterial small subunit ribosomal RNA", at positions 29 to 523 of the family's 1533-position model. The record is from RNAcentral.
AACGAACGCUGGCGGCAUGCCUAACACAUGCAAGUCGAACGAGACCUUCGGGUCUAGUGGCGCACGGGUGCGUAACGCGUGGGAAUCUACCCUUGGGUUCGGAAUAACAGUUAGAAAUGACUGCCAAUACCGGAUGAUGACGUAAGUCCAAAGAUUUAUCGCCCAAGGAUGAGCCCGCGUAAGAUUAGCUUGUUGGUGGGGUAAUGGCCUACCAAGGCGACGAUCGUUAGCUGGGCUGAGAGGAUGAUCAGCCACACUGGGACUGAGACACGGCCCAGACUCCUACGGGAGGCAGCAGUGGGGAAUAUUGGACAAUGGGCGAAAGCCUGAUCCAGCAAUGCCGCGUGAGUGAUGAAGGCCUUAGGGUUGUAAAGCUCUUUUACCAGGGAUGAUAAUGACAGUACCUGGAGAAUAAGCUCCGGCUAACUCCGUGCCAGCAGCCGCCGUAA